RNAcentral lists this ribosomal RNA (250 nucleotides) under uncultured bacterium. RNAcentral's name for it is "partial 16S ribosomal RNA". It matches the Rfam family "Bacterial small subunit ribosomal RNA", at positions 28 to 264 of the family's 1533-position model. The record is from RNAcentral.
AACGAACGCUGGCGGCGUGGAUAAGACAUGCAAGUCGGACGGGGCGCUGGGGAUAGCAAUAUUUCCGGUGCCCAGUGGCGCAAGGGUGAGUAACACGUGGGCAAUCUGCCGGGAAGAGUGGGAUAGCUCGCCGAAAGGCGAAUUAAUACCGCAUGUGGCUUGUGGCGGCAUCGCUGCAGGGCCAAAGCCGGGGCAACCUGGCGUUUCCCGAUGAGCCCGCGGCCUAUCAGCUAGUUGGCGGGGUAACGGC